This 71-nucleotide transfer RNA is filed under the name Candidatus Omnitrophota bacterium. RNAcentral describes it as "Candidatus Omnitrophica bacterium tRNA-Gln". It matches the Rfam family "tRNA". From Rfam's summary of the family: Transfer RNA (tRNA) molecules are approximately 80 nucleotides in length. Lineage: Bacteria; Pseudomonadati; Candidatus Omnitrophota. The record is from RNAcentral.
UGCCCUGUCGUCCAAUGGUAAGACGCAAGUCUCUGGAUCUUGUUAUUCUGGUUCGAAUCCAGACGGGGCAG